GGCAACCAGCAAUCAGCUUUUCUUCACUUGAACCAUGGCAAGGCAUUCAAAUUAGUCAUUACACUGUUUUCUUCUAAAAUUUGCUUAUUGACAAUUGAAUAAGCAAUAAACAGAUGCAUAAGGAAAUUAUAAGCACACUAGAAAAACCUAAUUUUUCCAUCACAAGCGUAAAUUCUCUGUUUAGACGGUGUAACCCGUCAUGUUAUUAUCACUCUAUCUAUCCUUGUCUGCAAAAUUAUCAUAUGCAAGGAAAAACGAUUGGAGCUUGUCUUCAUCAGUCAGAUAUCCUGAUUUCAACUCCCAAUAGGUCCUUCACUUGCUCAUAUGUCACAAAAGCAAUAGCUAUUGAAGGAACGACCUUCACUGAGUUAGGCACCAAACCUUUGUACAAGGCACUGAAGCCCUCAUACCUCACAGUUUUCCUGAAAGUAUCAAUCAUACCAGAAUAUUCAAGGGAGGCCUUGCUCCUCCCAUCACCAGUA
Molecule: unclassified non-coding RNA, 482 nt
Filed under: Hevea brasiliensis (rubber tree)
Lineage: Eukaryota; Viridiplantae; Streptophyta; Magnoliopsida; Malpighiales; Euphorbiaceae
Source: RNAcentral